Long non-coding RNA from Humulus lupulus (European hop), 345 nucleotides. RefSeq lists it as uncharacterized. The transcript has 4 exons. The record is from RefSeq and is a predicted model, not a curated record. NCBI's taxonomy places the organism in Eukaryota, Viridiplantae, Streptophyta, Magnoliopsida, Rosales, Cannabaceae.
CCACUCUCUCUCAUUCACUCAUCUGAUUUUUGAAGACCUCUCAAAGUGUUCUCUCCAUUUUUCAAGCCCAAGAACACCAAGGAAACUUUGAGGCUAAGUCUUGGUCUAGGAAGUAUUUUCCCUAAGUUGGUUAGGGUUUUUGAAAGGUUUUGGAGGAGCCAAAGCUAAUAGGAAGGUCCAAACCUUAAGCAAGAACACCAAAGAGUAUUGGCUAAGCGUAACUGGACUGAACGUUGGAGGGUGAAAACCUGCUGAGCGCUAAGGACUCCAAGUAAGUGCAAGGGCAAGGCAGAGCAGUGAGCGUUGGAGUCUUCCUUGCAAAUGUACAUGUGGACCGACCUUUUG